RNAcentral lists this unclassified non-coding RNA (162 nucleotides) under uncultured fungus. RNAcentral describes it as "sequence contains ITS1". The record is from RNAcentral. Lineage: Eukaryota; Fungi.
CCGAGAGUUUGCCUCUCCACCCUUUGUGUACCCUCCUCUGUUUCUUCGGCGGGCCACCAGGCCACCGGCCUCCCCUAGUGGUGGGCCGGCCUGGGCUUGUGGCCCGUCGGUGGUAACUCUGUCGUCGAAUGUGUUGUCUGAGUUUAGCUUCCAAUUAGAACA